UGAGAAGCCUCAGUCUGCAGCAGCGGAGGCUCAGGCGCUCCUGGUGGUUCCUAGUCAAGAUGAAAGUCGUAACUGCAUAGAAGACUUAAUCUUCAGAUGAAAGAAGAGACUUAAAGUGGAACUGAAAAACUGAAGAAAUUCCACUGCRACUUGAGCAGUCAUGUUGUCAUAGCAGUAAUGUCACGCAUUGAGCAACCACAAAAGCUGUCUGUGUGAAAACCACUUGGGUGACAAGUCAAAAUACCAAAAAUAUCAUCAAGAAAAAGGAAAAGCUUUGAAGGAAAAAAAAAGAAGCAUUAACAUGAAUAUUACUAGACKACGUCUGUUUUGUAUGCCAAAAUAAAAUCAUUAUUAAUAGACAAUGGGAGUAGACAGAACCAAAUGUUACAUAAUAGUCUUUCUUCAAUUGAUCAAAAGGAAAGAAAAAAUACACAAGGAGCAUCUUGAAAACAAGUUUAAAGAAAUUCUGUAACACAACAUUGUAAGUAAAUAAAACU
Nothoprocta perdicaria is the source of this 497-nucleotide long non-coding RNA. RefSeq lists it as uncharacterized. The transcript has 3 exons. The record is from RefSeq and is a predicted model, not a curated record. Lineage: Eukaryota; Metazoa; Chordata; Aves; Tinamiformes; Tinamidae.